RNAcentral lists this ribosomal RNA (924 nucleotides) under Arthrobacter sp. Its description in RNAcentral is "bacterial SSU rRNA". It matches the Rfam family "Bacterial small subunit ribosomal RNA", at positions 552 to 1472 of the family's 1533-position model. Lineage: Bacteria; Bacillati; Actinomycetota; Actinomycetes; Micrococcales; Micrococcaceae. The record is from RNAcentral.
UAUUGGGCGUAAGAGCUCGUAGGCGGUUUGUCGCGUCUGCCGUGAAAGUCCGGGGCUCAACUCCGGAUCUGCGGUGGGUACGGGCAGACUAGAGUGAUGUAGGGGAGACUGGAAUUCCUGGUGUAGCGGUGAAAUGCGCAGAUAUCAGGAGGAACACCGAUGGCGAAGGCAGGUCUCUGGGCAUUAACUGACGCUGAGGAGCGAAAGCAUGGGGAGCGAACAGGAUUAGAUACCCUGGUAGUCCAUGCCGUAAACGUUGGGCACUAGGUGUGGGGGACAUUCCACGUUUUCCGCGCCGUAGCUAACGCAUUAAGUGCCCCGCCUGGGGAGUACGGCCGCAAGGCUAAAACUCAAAGGAAUUGACGGGGGCCCGCACAAGCGGCGGAGCAUGCGGAUUAAUUCGAUGCAACGCGAAGAACCUUACCAAGGCUUGACAUGAACCGGUAACGCCUGGAGACAGGUGCCCCGCUUGCGGUCGGUUUACAGGUGGUGCAUGGUUGUCGUCAGCUCGUGUCGUGAGAUGUUGGGUUAAGUCCCGCAACGAGCGCAACCCUCGUUCUAUGUUGCCAGCACGUGAUGGUGGGGACUCAUAGGAGACUGCCGGGGUCAACUCGGAGGAAGGUGGGGACGACGUCAAAUCAUCAUGCCCCUUAUGUCUUGGGCUUCACGCAUGCUACAAUGGCCGGUACAAAGGGUUGCGAUACUGUGAGGUGGAGCUAAUCCCAAAAAGCCGGUCUCAGUUCGGAUUGGGGUCUGCAACUCGACCCCAUGAAGUCGGAGUCGCUAGUAAUCGCAGAUCAGCAACGCUGCGGUGAAUACGUUCCCGGGCCUUGUACACACCGCCCGUCAAGUCACGAAAGUUGGUAACACCCGAAGCCGGUGGCCUAACCCCUUGUGGGAGGGAGCUGUCGAAGUGGGACUGGC